This 259-nucleotide ribosomal RNA is filed under the name uncultured bacterium. Its description in RNAcentral is "partial 16S ribosomal RNA". It matches the Rfam family "Bacterial small subunit ribosomal RNA", at positions 355 to 631 of the family's 1533-position model. The record is from RNAcentral.
UGGGGGAUAUUGCACAAUGGAGGAAACUCUGAUGCAGCAACGCCGCGUGAAGGAUGAAGGUCUUCGGAUUGUAAACUUUUGUACUUGGGGACGAUAAUGACGGUACCCAAGCAGCAAGCUCCGGCUAACUACGUGCCAGCAGCCGCGGUAAUACGUAGGGAGCAAGCGUUGUCCGGAUUUACUGGGUGUAAAGGGUGCGUAGGCGGCUAUGCAAGUCAGUUGUGAAAACUAUGGGCUCAACCCAUAGCCUGCAAUUGAA